GAUGAAGAACGCAGCGAAAUGCGAUACGUAAUGUGAAUUGCAGAAUUCAGUGAAUCAUCGAAUCUUUGAACGCAUAUUGCGCUCUCUGGUAUUCCGGAGAGCAUGCUUGUUUGAGUAUCAGUAAACACCUCAACUUCCAUAUCUUUUUUUGAAAUGGGAGUUGGACUUGAGUGAUCCCAACGCUUUUCCUCACCGAAAAGUGGCGGGUUACUUGAAAUGCAGGUGCAGCUGGACUUUUCUCUGAGCUAUAAGCAUAUCUAUUUAGUCUGCCUAAAAAACAGAUUAUUACCUUUGCUGCAGCUAACAUAAAGGAGAUUAGUUCUUGUGCUGACUGAUGCAGGAUUCACAAAGACAGCUUCGGCCGACUUUGUAAACUCGAUCUCAAAUCAAGUAAGACUACCCGCUGAACUUAAGCAUAUCAAUAAGCGGAGA
This 432-nucleotide unclassified non-coding RNA is filed under the name soil metagenome. RNAcentral describes it as "partial contains 5.8S ribosomal RNA, internal transcribed spacer 2, and large subunit ribosomal RNA". The stretch from base 1 to 120 matches the Rfam family "5.8S ribosomal RNA", at positions 35 to 154 of the family's 154-position model. The record is from RNAcentral.